This 409-nucleotide long non-coding RNA is filed under the name Rhinopithecus bieti (black snub-nosed monkey). Its description in RNAcentral is "lncRNA (ENSRBIG00000045134.1)". The record is from RNAcentral. Lineage: Eukaryota; Metazoa; Chordata; Mammalia; Primates; Cercopithecidae.
GGAGGGCAGGCUCAAGUUAUCAUUCGGUGUGGAGAGGGUCUCAGAAUGACGUGGAACUUAGUUGUACACAAUAAAAGAGAAUAUCAUUCUGAAGGCAAUAAAGAGCAUUGCAAUACCUGAUAAAAUUCUGACUUCUGCUUCAUUUCCUGUUCUUGAGCUGGCUGGAUUUCGAGCGGAGCAUCGGUAAAUUCCAAUGUCCCCUGGUUGGAGUCGGCUGAUCUGCAGUGCUCCAGAGGGAUAGGAAUACAGAAUUCACAUCCCGCAUAUUUUCUGAAUGAAACGUUACAAAGCCCAAACAACAAGGAUUUUCAUAAACAGAGAAACUUGACAAGACAUUUUUCUGUUCAUUUCAAAGGUCAGUGAAACAAUAAUUUAUUGGGUUAUAAUUGUUUCAAACUUUUAAUUGAGC